AUAGAACACUACUCAUAUAGAGAGAGAAGAGGAAAACAUAAGAAAAGAAAAUAAAAAGAAAAGAGAGUGAGAAACCAAAAGAUGACAACCGCCAUGAAUGACAAUAAGGUUGAUCAAGAUCACUUGGUACUCCUCUCCCAAUUGUACCCUGGCGUAUACACACAAAUGGUUCCACAACAAGGUGAGCCAAAACCACGACGCAGGCGAAAGAAGAACAAAGGAGGAGAAAACGGAGUUACUGCUGCCAAGAAGAGGAAGCUCAGUGCUGACCAGGUUAAUCUUCUUGAGAUGAAUUUUGGUAACGAACAUAAGCUGGAGUCUGAGAGAAAAGACAGGCUUGCUUCAGAACUUGGACUUGAUCCCCGUCAAGUUGCUGUUUGGUUUCAAAACCGAAGGGCUCGCUGGAAGAACAAGAAACUUGAGGAGGAGUACACUAAGUUGAAGACAGCCCAUGAGAAUAUUGUUGUUGAGAAAUGUCACCUUGAAUCUGAGGUUUUGAAGCUUAAGGAGCAACUUUCAGAAGCAGAGAAAGAGAUUCAACGACUAACAGAGCGUGUUGAUGGAGUUUCGAGUAAUAGUUGUAGUCCAACUCUGUCUAUGGAAGCCAUGGACGCACCGUUUCUUGGAGAAUUUGGGAUGGAAGGAUAUGGAGAUAUUUUUUACAUGCCAGAAACCAAUUACAUUCAUGGUAUGGAAUGGUUUAAUCAGUAUAUGUAAUUAACUAGCCUAAUUUUAGCAUAUGUAGAUAGUAAUUAGGCAACAAGCUAGUGUAAAUUUUCCCUCUAUCUAGCUACUUCUUUACCAUUGAGGUGUUUUAGUUGGAAAUGCCAUUAAUUAAGUAAAUUAAUUUGCCUUUCAG
Molecule: unclassified non-coding RNA, 859 nt
Filed under: Hevea brasiliensis (rubber tree)
Lineage: Eukaryota; Viridiplantae; Streptophyta; Magnoliopsida; Malpighiales; Euphorbiaceae
Source: RNAcentral